CCCUUAGAUGUUCUGGGCUGCACGCGCGCUACACUGACGCACGCAACAGGUGCCUGCUCCGAGAGGACUGGGUAAUCAUUUGAGUGUGCGUCGUGAUGGGGAUAGAAUAUUGUAAUUAUUACUCUUCAACGAGGAAUUCCUAGUAAGCGCCAGUCAGCAGCUUGCGCUGAUUACGUCCCUGCCCUUUGUACACACCGCCCGCCGCUCCUACCGAUGGGUGAUCCGGUGAAUGAUUCGGACUUCAGCGGCUCCCCUGGGGUGCGCCGGAGAAAGUUUUGUGAACCUUAUCACUUGGAGGAAGGAGAAGUCGUAACA
This 315-nucleotide ribosomal RNA is filed under the name uncultured eukaryote. RNAcentral describes it as "partial 18S ribosomal RNA". It matches the Rfam family "Eukaryotic small subunit ribosomal RNA", at positions 1470 to 1796 of the family's 1831-position model. The record is from RNAcentral.